RNAcentral lists this long non-coding RNA (290 nucleotides) under Ananas comosus (pineapple). Its description in RNAcentral is "long non-coding RNA (ACOM_LNC033691)". Lineage: Eukaryota; Viridiplantae; Streptophyta; Magnoliopsida; Poales; Bromeliaceae. The record is from RNAcentral.
GGAUACUGCUUUGGUGGUGAGAGCGAAAAAGAAGGCGACAAUAUCGGUGGCCAAAGAUAGACAGAAGAAGCCGCUAUCCGAGGUGGAGCGCUUCUACUAUCAUAGGAAAGGGCAUAUCAAGCGAAAUUGUCAAAAACUUCAGGAUGAUCUGAAGGAGUUAAAACGACAAAAAGAAAAAACUGUCAUGAACCAGGAUGAGACGGUAUCAGCGAUGGCGCAGGCGGUAGAGUCGGAGAUGAUCAAUUCUGAUGUGCUGUAUACAGCAACCGGAGGUGCAAAAAUUUCGGAUG